AGUGAACGCUGGCGGUAGGCCUAACACAUGUAAGUCGAACGGCAGCACAGUAAGAGCUUGCUCUUACGGGUGGCGAGUGGCGGACGGGUGAGGAAUACAUCGGAAUCUACUUUUUCGUGGGGGAUGACGUAGGGAAACUUACGCUAAUACCGCAUACGACCUACGGGUGAAAGCAGGGGAUCUUCGGACCUUGCGCGAUUGAAUGAGCCGAUGUCGGAUUAGCUAGUUGGCGGGGUAAAGGCCCACCAAGGCGACGAUCCGUAGCUGGUCUGAGAGGAUGAUCAGCCACACUGGAACUGAGACACGGUCCAGACUCCUACGGGAGGCAGCAGUGGGGAAUAUUGGACAAUGGGCGCAAGCCUGAUCCAGCCAUACCGCGUGGGUGAAGAAGGCCUUCGGGUUGUAAAGCCCUUUUGUUGGGAAAGAAAAGCAGCAGGUUAAUACCCCGCUGUUCUGACGGUACCCAAAGAAUAAGCACCGGCUAACUUCGUG
RNAcentral lists this ribosomal RNA (492 nucleotides) under uncultured bacterium. RNAcentral's name for it is "partial 16S ribosomal RNA". It matches the Rfam family "Bacterial small subunit ribosomal RNA", at positions 29 to 507 of the family's 1533-position model. The record is from RNAcentral.